AUGUCCAGAUGGGUUUUGAGUAUCUCCAGAGAAGGAGACUCCACAACCUCUCUGGGCAACCUGUUCCAGUGCUCCGUCACCCUCACGGUAAAAAUGCCCGCUCCUGGCUCUGUGCCCGGCCAAGGCAGCCUUGCCUCUGCUGGGGAGGCAGCACUGCUGUCGGGCGCGCGUUUCGGUGCCCCCAGCGCAGCCCGUGGCUCAGCCCCAGGCGCGGGYGGCUCAGCGGUCUCGCAGGCCGUGCCGGGGGACACCCGCGCACCGCGGCGCAGGGCGAGCGGGCGGCACCGCACUUUAACUGGGGACAGGUGUUGGCUCGCACAGCCUGGCAGCGGGCCCGCAGGCAGCAGGUGGGGCCGGCGGAGGCCGAGGACGGAGCGGGAGGCAGGGUCGGUGCCGGCGCUGCCCGCGGCGCCCCGGCGCUGCCUGCCUCCGUCAGCGUCCCGCCUACCCGGGAGCCAUGCUGCUGCAGUCGCGCAGGAGACGGUGGGAAGAGCUUGUCCCUGCUCGCCUGCGCUCGCCUCCCCGCCGGCACGGCCUGCCCGCUUGGGCCUCCGGCACAGGCGCCUGCGGCGGCCACGCUUGCCGGGUGGCAGGCAGGUGGGUGAUCCCUGCCCCUCUCCGUGGCUGCCCGGAGGGGUGGGGGUGCCCGCUUUUCCCUGGGGAGAAGCUUUCCCGGCCGGGCAGGCUGCCCGAUCUGCCCAAAGGGCACCCGAAACUUUCUGGGCGCUGGCGGUGCCUGGGCAGGGCUGCUUCCCGCUCCCUUGCCCCCUGCGCUGCCCCGGGGGGCCACUGCGUGCAGGGGGCGUGGGGGCACAGGAGGUGAGGUCUCCCCGCUUCUUCCUGCCUGGAUCAAAGCCCCGCGACCUGGCCCUACRGGUGAGCCUCCCUGCAGGGUGCUGCAGCUCUUCUCUGCGCUUUUGGGGGGAGCACCGCUUGCUGCCUGCUUCUGCGCGGCCCUGGGGACACAGGGCUGGGGGACACAGCGGGGAUGCCCCUGGCAUGACAUGCUGCUCUGCGGUGGCACCCCCCCUAUCCGGGCCCCUGGUUCCUCCUCUGGGAGGGAGACCAGGACCAGGACCAGGGUGGCCAAAGGGGGCUUUCCAGGCUCCUGCUGACACUCCAGCAGCUCCUCGUCCUCUUCCAGCUCCUCCGAGCUCAGAGUUUGCUUCCUGCACUGCAUCAGCCUGCGCCUUUCCCCUUGGCUCCUUGCUCCUCCGUGUAUGCGGGCUGUAUCUCCCAGGCAAGCACUGCUCCUUUUGGGGAAGGGAUCUCCUCAGGCAGGAGGUGCUGUGGGACUCUGGCCCUGUGCCAAGCAGAGGGGCAGGGCAAGAUGGCUUGCAGAAAGGGAAACUGGGGARAGAGGUCCUGCUUCCACCUCUGGCUUGGCCUGACUGCCUUCUGGCAGUGGCCAUGGAUUAUAGGAGUGGGGAAACGGGGCAGAGCCCAGCAGGACAUGCCGGGAAGGGCAGUUCUGCAUCUCUGGGCUCCUGGUCCAGUCCCCCUGGGGUUUUGGGCAGAGAUUAA
This 1524-nucleotide long non-coding RNA is filed under the name Apteryx haastii (Great spotted kiwi). RNAcentral's name for it is "lncRNA (ENSAHAG00000003602.1)". Lineage: Eukaryota; Metazoa; Chordata; Aves; Apterygiformes; Apterygidae. The record is from RNAcentral.